AUGUUAAAGAAGCUAAGCACUGUGGGUCCAAAGUAUACUGCGGAAAAAUUGUGUGGAGCAAUGUGCAAGUCAAAUCUUCUUUUGCCGAGGUGUUAUCAUAAGAGCUCGCAUUAUGGGCAGGGAUUUGUGCUGCUGUCUGGACUCGCUAUAAAUAGAUGUUUUCAAAAAGUCUGAAUUUUUUUAAUAUCAUACUUUACUGACAAAAAAGGACAAAUAUUGCUCAGUUAAAUUGCAAAAGAAAUUUGUUUAAAAAAAAUUGUAAUAAUAGAAAGUUUGCUUUUUUGUUUGAUAAGACUGCUGUAAUGGUUUAAUGUUUGUUUAUUUGCCUUAAUCAUACAUUUUCAGUCAUUUCAUGGUGCCACCACUUGGGAUGGUAUUAGCUGCAAAUAUAGACUUGUACUUAGCACUUAUUGCCUUUAAGAAGUAUGAGAUCCAUUUUGUGCUAACACCUACCAUGACACAGAAUCUUGGUUUAUGCAGUCUCAUAGGAGUAACCUGUCUAAAGCAUUUAGCAAUGGGAUUGGAGCCUGAGACGUGUGACUCAUCUGAAUACUGAAUUUUGAUACCAAGCAUGACCGUGAUUUGCCAGAAGAUCAUCUGUUUGGAUGUGACAUGGAAUAAACAGCAUAGUGAAAAUAAGUCAAGUUUUGGUUUGUGACGACAACUUUUAAACACACUGUGUAUCAUUUUUAAAUUUUGAUUUCACAACAUAAAUCCACAAAUAUGAGCAUAUCAAUUGCUCUCGGUUUUUCAAGUGAAAUAGUUUUUGUAACAGAAAUACAUGUACCAGUAAUUACAUUGGACAAAAUGUUAUUUUUAAAUAUAAUAAUAUUUUGUUUGUGUUGCAUGUUGACCUCUUUAUUAAGGUCUUCCCUUUCAAAGUUUAGACUUACUUAUUCUAAUGAUUUAGAUAGAUCCUCUGUCUUCAGCAGGAAUAUAAGAUCUUGUAAUACAUGUAUGUGUAUUUUUACAGUAUAAUGUAAAAAAAAAAUUAUUUUGGCACAUACAAUUAAAUAAAGUCAUAUACAUGUGUAUGAUUCCAAGGAAUUCAAUACAUAGGGCAUGUACAUGUAGUUUUCUAAAACAAGAUUAAAGAGAUGUCCAGUCACAUUUCAAUGUCAACUGCAAAACUGUGCCUGUUGCAUACUUAUUAGCCCAUCUGAGCUAAAGGAACAAGUAAAUUUUUUAAAAACAUAAUUUUAUCCAUUAUCAUCAUUGUCUAAAAUUUCACAAUAUCAUUUUCCAGAACCAAAGUGAAACUUGGCAUAGAGCAUCCUUAGUGUAGGGGAUUCAAAUUGUUCUUAUGCAGGGCAAUACUUUCAAAGAGAUUUGUUUCUUUAAUGCUGUAAAUGUAUUAUAUUUAGCAUGUACAAUAUUUGGUGGAAAUUGACUUUUGAAUAAGUUAGCGUAGAUAUUCUUAUUUAUAUUUAUGUACAAAACUUUUAGCUUUGUACUUGAUUUAGUGAUUGCUGCAUUCCGCAAAAGCCGCUAAAAAAAGAAUACGCAGCCAUAUGUAAUAUGUUUACAAUAAACCUUUCAGAGAAUUUUACACUCCUAUUGAGGUACCACCAGUUGCUAGUGGAAAGCUGCAAAUUCGAAAUAUACACAACACAUUUCUGUGCGUUUAUUAUAAAAGUAUUGUUCUACUUACUGAUUGCAACUAAUGAAGAUUGUUCAUCAUUAUUGUAAAUACAUUUGGAUUUUUUGAUUUAUUAUAUAAAAAUUUGUUUAUUUUA
This is a long non-coding RNA of Saccostrea cuccullata (small rock oyster), 1736 nucleotides long. RefSeq lists it as uncharacterized. The record is from RefSeq and is a predicted model, not a curated record. The transcript is spliced from 2 exons. NCBI's taxonomy places the organism in Eukaryota, Metazoa, Mollusca, Bivalvia, Ostreida, Ostreidae.